RNAcentral lists this ribosomal RNA (255 nucleotides) under uncultured bacterium. RNAcentral describes it as "partial 16S ribosomal RNA". It matches the Rfam family "Bacterial small subunit ribosomal RNA", at positions 99 to 354 of the family's 1533-position model. The record is from RNAcentral.
CGGACGGGUGAGUAACGCGUGGAAAACCUGCCGUAUACUGGGGGAUAACACUUAGAAAUAGGUGCUAAUACCGCAUAAGCGCACAGCUUCGCAUGAAGCGGUGUGAAAAACUCUGGUGGUAUACGAUGGUUCCGCGUCUGAUUAGCUAGUUGGUGGGGUAAUGGCCUACCAAGGCAACGAUCAGUAGCCGGCCUGAGAGGGUGAACGGCCACAUUGGGACUGAGACAUGGCCCAAACUCCUACGGGAGGCAGCAG